RNAcentral lists this ribosomal RNA (2924 nucleotides) under Escherichia coli. RNAcentral's name for it is "LSU rRNA". It matches the Rfam family "Bacterial large subunit ribosomal RNA". The record is from RNAcentral. Lineage: Bacteria; Pseudomonadati; Pseudomonadota; Gammaproteobacteria; Enterobacterales; Enterobacteriaceae.
GGUUAAGCGACUAAGCGUACACGGUGGAUGCCCUGGCAGUCAGAGGCGAUGAAGGACGUGCUAAUCUGCGAUAAGCGUCGGUAAGGUGAUAUGAACCGUUAUAACCGGCGAUUUCCGAAUGGGGAAACCCAGUGUGAUUCGUCACACUAUCAUUAACUGAAUCCAUAGGUUAAUGAGGCGAACCGGGGGAACUGAAACAUCUAAGUACCCCGAGGAAAAGAAAUCAACCGAGAUUCCCCCAGUAGCGGCGAGCGAACGGGGAGGAGCCCAGAGCCUGAAUCAGUGUGUGUGUUAGUGGAAGCGUCUGGAAAGGCGCGCGAUACAGGGUGACAGCCCCGUACACAAAAAUGCACAUGCUGUGAGCUCGAUGAGUAGGGCGGGACACGUGGUAUCCUGUCUGAAUAUGGGGGGACCAUCCUCCAAGGCUAAAUACUCCUGACUGACCGAUAGUGAACCAGUACCGUGAGGGAAAGGCGAAAAGAACCCCGGCGAGGGGAGUGAAAAAGAACCUGAAACCGUGUACGUACAAGCAGUGGGAGCACGCUUAGGCGUGUGACUGCGUACCUUUUGUAUAAUGGGUCAGCGACUUAUAUUCUGUAGCAAGGUUAACCGAAUAGGGGAGCCGAAGGGAAACCGAGUCUUAACUGGGCGUUAAGUUGCAGGGUAUAGACCCGAAACCCGGUGAUCUAGCCAUGGGCAGGUUGAAGGUUGGGUAACACUAACUGGAGGACCGAACCGACUAAUGUUGAAAAAUUAGCGGAUGACUUGUGGCUGGGGGUGAAAGGCCAAUCAAACCGGGAGAUAGCUGGUUCUCCCCGAAAGCUAUUUAGGUAGCGCCUCGUGAAUUCAUCUCCGGGGGUAGAGCACUGUUUCGGCAAGGGGGUCAUCCCGACUUACCAACCCGAUGCAAACUGCGAAUACCGGAGAAUGUUAUCACGGGAGACACACGGCGGGUGCUAACGUCCGUCGUGAAGAGGGAAACAACCCAGACCGCCAGCUAAGGUCCCAAAGUCAUGGUUAAGUGGGAAACGAUGUGGGAAGGCCCAGACAGCCAGGAUGUUGGCUUAGAAGCAGCCAUCAUUUAAAGAAAGCGUAAUAGCUCACUGGUCGAGUCGGCCUGCGCGGAAGAUGUAACGGGGCUAAACCAUGCACCGAAGCUGCGGCAGCGACGCUUAUGCGUUGUUGGGUAGGGGAGCGUUCUGUAAGCCUGUGAAGGUGUACUGUGAGGUAUGCUGGAGGUAUCAGAAGUGCGAAUGCUGACAUAAGUAACGAUAAAGCGGGUGAAAAGCCCGCUCGCCGGAAGACCAAGGGUUCCUGUCCAACGUUAAUCGGGGCAGGGUGAGUCGACCCCUAAGGCGAGGCCGAAAGGCGUAGUCGAUGGGAAACAGGUUAAUAUUCCUGUACUUGGUGUUACUGCGAAGGGGGGACGGAGAAGGCUAUGUUGGCCGGGCGACGGUUGUCCCGGUUUAAGCGUGUAGGCUGGUUUUCCAGGCAAAUCCGGAAAAUCAAGGCUGAGGCGUGAUGACGAGGCACUACGGUGCUGAAGCAACAAAUGCCCUGCUUCCAGGAAAAGCCUCUAAGCAUCAGGUAACAUCAAAUCGUACCCCAAACCGACACAGGUGGUCAGGUAGAGAAUACCAAGGCGCUUGAGAGAACUCGGGUGAAGGAACUAGGCAAAAUGGUGCCGUAACUUCGGGAGAAGGCACGCUGAUAUGUAGGUGAAGUCCCUCGCGGAUGGAGCUGAAAUCAGUCGAAGAUACCAGCUGGCUGCAACUGUUUAUUAAAAACACAGCACUGUGCAAACACGAAAGUGGACGUAUACGGUGUGACGCCUGCCCGGUGCCGGAAGGUUAAUUGAUGGGGUCAGCGCAAGCGAAGCUCUUGAUCGAAGCCCCGGUAAACGGCGGCCGUAACUAUAACGGUCCUAAGGUAGCGAAAUUCCUUGUCGGGUAAGUUCCGACCUGCACGAAUGGCGUAAUGAUGGCCAGGCUGUCUCCACCCGAGACUCAGUGAAAUUGAACUCGCUGUGAAGAUGCAGUGUACCCGCGGCAAGACGGAAAGACCCCGUGAACCUUUACUAUAGCUUGACACUGAACAUUGAGCCUUGAUGUGUAGGAUAGGUGGGAGGCUUUGAAGUGUGGACGCCAGUCUGCAUGGAGCCGACCUUGAAAUACCACCCUUUAAUGUUUGAUGUUCUAACGUUGACCCGUAAUCCGGGUUGCGGACAGUGUCUGGUGGGUAGUUUGACUGGGGCGGUCUCCUCCUAAAGAGUAACGGAGGAGCACGAAGGUUGGCUAAUCCUGGUCGGACAUCAGGAGGUUAGUGCAAUGGCAUAAGCCAGCUUGACUGCGAGCGUGACGGCGCGAGCAGGUGCGAAAGCAGGUCAUAGUGAUCCGGUGGUUCUGAAUGGAAGGGCCAUCGCUCAACGGAUAAAAGGUACUCCGGGGAUAACAGGCUGAUACCGCCCAAGAGUUCAUAUCGACGGCGGUGUUUGGCACCUCGAUGUCGGCUCAUCACAUCCUGGGGCUGAAGUAGGUCCCAAGGGUAUGGCUGUUCGCCAUUUAAAGUGGUACGCGAGCUGGGUUUAGAACGUCGUGAGACAGUUCGGUCCCUAUCUGCCGUGGGCGCUGGAGAACUGAGGGGGGCUGCUCCUAGUACGAGAGGACCGGAGUGGACGCAUCACUGGUGUUCGGGUUGUCAUGCCAAUGGCACUGCCCGGUAGCUAAAUGCGGAAGAGAUAAGUGCUGAAAGCAUCUAAGCACGAAACUUGCCCCGAGAUGAGUUCUCCCUGACUCCUUGAGAGUCCUGAAGGAACGUUGAAGACGACGACGUUGAUAGGCCGGGUGUGUAAGCGCAGCGAUGCGUUGAGCUAACCGGUACUAAUGAACCGUGAGGCUUAACCUUACAACGCCGAAGGUGUUUUG